GACGAACGCUGUCGGCGUGCUUAACACGUGCAAGUCGAGCGGAAAGGCCACUUCGGUGGUACUCGAGCGGCGAACGGGUGAGGCACACGUGAGUAAUCUGCCCCUGGCUUUGGGAUAGCCACAGGAAACGGUGAUUAAUACCGGAUACGACCACUUCUCGCAUGGGAUGGUGGUGGUAUGUUUUUUCGGCCAGGGAGGUGCUCGCGGCCUAUCAGCUUGAGGGUGAGGUAAUGGCUCACCAUGGCUUCGACGGGUAGCCGGCCUGAGAGGGUGACCGGUCACACUGGGACUGAGACACGGCCCAGACUCCUACGGGAGGCAGCAGUGGGGAAUAUUGGACAAUGGGCGGAAGCCUGAUCCAGCAACGCCGCGUGAGGGAUGACGGCCUUCGGGUUGUAAACCUCUUUCAGCAGGGACGAAGCGCAAGUGACGGUACCUGCAGAAGAAGCACCGGCCAACUACGUGCCAGCCGCCGCCGUAA
RNAcentral lists this ribosomal RNA (481 nucleotides) under uncultured bacterium. RNAcentral describes it as "partial 16S ribosomal RNA". It matches the Rfam family "Bacterial small subunit ribosomal RNA", at positions 28 to 523 of the family's 1533-position model. The record is from RNAcentral.